CCCCUCUAAGUGUCGCACCUGGAGAGUUUCCAGUAUUCUACCAGUCUCGGCUAUGGGAGGGGGAGUCAAGCAGAGGCCUAUCCAUUCCAUUUCUAGCUUGGGCAGUGGCUAGCGAGUGGAAGGCCAUCUGCUACAAGU
This 138-nucleotide small nucleolar RNA is filed under the name Ornithorhynchus anatinus (platypus). Lineage: Eukaryota; Metazoa; Chordata; Mammalia; Monotremata; Ornithorhynchidae. The record is from RNAcentral.